RNAcentral lists this ribosomal RNA (253 nucleotides) under uncultured bacterium. RNAcentral's name for it is "partial 16S ribosomal RNA". It matches the Rfam family "Bacterial small subunit ribosomal RNA", at positions 524 to 776 of the family's 1533-position model. The record is from RNAcentral.
UACAGAGGGUGCGAGCGUUAAUCGGAAUUACUGGGCGUAAAGCGUGCGUAGACGGUUAUUUAAGUCGGAUGUGAAAGCCCCGGGCUCAACCUGGGAAUUGCAUUCGAGACUGAAUAGCUAGGGUGCGGUAGAGGGAAGCGGAAUUUCCGGUGUAGCGGUGAAAUGCGUAGAUAUCGGAAGGAACAUCAGUGGCGAAAGCGGCUUCCUGGACCGGUAUUGACACUGAGGCGCGAAAGCCAGGGGAGCAAACGGG